This is a long non-coding RNA of Micropterus dolomieu (smallmouth bass), 2378 nucleotides long. RefSeq lists it as uncharacterized. The transcript is spliced from 6 exons. NCBI's taxonomy places the organism in Eukaryota, Metazoa, Chordata, Actinopteri, Centrarchiformes, Centrarchidae. The record is from RefSeq and is a predicted model, not a curated record.
CUGAAAUGCGCCCAAGCUGUAGAAAGUUGACAGCAGAGACGUCCAGGAAACAAGCAAGGUUCAAAGCGUGGAUGCUGCAGGGCGCCUUUGAGAAAAAGAAAUUUCAGAGAGCAACAGAUUCAGUCUUACCUGCUGAGGUCAAGAGCUGGAGGAUCCUGCUUGAGAAGGAAGACGAGUCUGUUUGGAGUACUGACGAGGAUAUCUGCACAGAGAAAAGGAGGUUGUGCAUCUCUGAGGACCUUUUCCUGAUGAAGAUGCUUCAGCCUCUUCAGUGUGGAUUUCUCCUUCCCAUCACUCGGCAGGUUUUGGAUCUUUCUGUCCAAUGAGGAGGUCCAGGUGAUGCCGUUUCCCUCUACGUCUUUCAGAGGUAUGCCACCAGCUUCAGUCAGACAGAAGACAGCGAACAGCAGUCCCGGAUAUCCAAAUAGCGGGAAACUUCAAAACAUCUGGAAAUAACCUCAGUCAGCUGCCAAUCAGUUGGAUAUGCCUUACAGGGCCGUGGCCAGGGAACGCCACACGCAGCUGAAGCGCUUCGUGUCCCCGUAGCAGCCGCGGUGGGCGGGGACUGCCAGGGCAGCGGCAGACUUGAUCCGCACCUUGAAGUUCUUACAGGAAGUGACGACAUGGCAGAGAGAGGAGAACGCAUCGCUAGACCACGGGGCCGAGUCUGAUGGGAAAUUAAAAAAAAAAAAAAAAAAGGAGAAAUGAAUGGUCAAGUUUGAAGAGAGAGCAACAUUAAAAUAAAAUUCAGAUCAAUCACUGAUGGGUACACUUAACAAACCCCGUAUGUGAUGUAAAACUGAGGGGGAGUGCAUUUAAAAAAAAAAAAAAAAAAAAAAAACUUUAAACCAUUGUUUCAGCAAUUCAAUAGCAGCAAUUAGGUCCAUUUCCCAAAAUAUCAAACUAUUCCUUUAAAUUCUGAUUGGAAGCAAGAUCACAGAGCCAGACUGAUAACCCAUUCUGACCCAAACCUGGGAAAAUGCCCUGGCAAUAAAUACUUACUGAGCGGCAGGGCAGGGUUUCUGAAAGCAUUUCCCAAUGCAUAGCAAGCAUUCCAUCGGACCUUCAUAGUGGCUUCUGAUUGGACAGUUUUAACCAGAGCACGGACUGCGUCUUCCAGCGGGCGCUGGAACGCAGACCGGGUCAGCUGACUGUGACGCAGGAAAUGAAGCAGAUUCCCGAGUGCACGCACUGCGUUAGACUUCACCUGGGGUGGGGGGGAACAAGUUUAGAGAGGUUAGAGUCAAUCAAAGACUAUAAAAUUAUGUGGCAGAACAAAAUGUGGCAAGACAGAUCUGAAUGUUUGUGUUUCGCUAUGCUCUCACUCUGUCUUUGUCGGCCGAUGCUCGGGUGGCUGCCUGCAACAUCUUGAGCAGCAGCAUGUCUGAUAACUCUUCUUGGAAGUCCACACCUACACUCUCCCUGAUAAGGGGAAUGGAGAUAAACAGAUUAAAAAAACCAAUAUAUUAUAUACCUUGAAAACUAUACUGGUUUUAUCCAAAACAGUUAAAAACAUAUUAGUAAACAUAAGUGGAUCCAUGCUUUAAUGGUUUUAAGAUCAGAUUUCUUUACUGUACCAUUAUAAAUAGCAAGCAUUCACUCAGCACAUUGUAUCCAUGUUUUCUUACAUGUUAACUAUAAGAGUGUCUGUGAGGUUGCCUAGGGACCAGGCAGCCUUGGCACGGACAUUUGGAGAGCGAUCAUCUAGGGCAGCAAGGAUAGUGUUUGCUGUGUCUGCCACGAACAUCACAUCCUGAAAAGGGAGGGAGAGACAGAAAUAAACACAAUCUGUUAGGGUGAGAAACGUGCUGCACGGUGCUCAGUAUGCUCACAGGUGCUGGUUCUACCUCUCUCAGACAGGGGAACAGUAUGUAGACUCCCAACGCCCUGACAGCUGCAGUCUUCACCAGAUAGUUUUCACUGUAGGUAAGCCCCAGCAGCAUGGUGAUGCACAUCAGCUGGGUCUUGUCCUUUAAAGCAAAAUUAAACAUCACACAAAUAAGACCAAUGAAGCUCAGUCUCAGCUAUGAAGAAAGUGUUCAAUCGUAGGGGAACUCACGGGCAGCUGUGCGAAGGCCUGUGGCAGGAUGGUGGAGAGCGUGUCGCAGGCGCUCGUCUGCAGCGUGGGAUGCUGUUCGUUCUGCAGUGCUCCGUUCAGCGGACCACUCAAGACUUCUGACCAAAACAGCACCACCUAUAUCAUGCCCACAUAAUGCAUGUAUGAAAUGAAAACACAGUUGUCUAUAGUAGUGUUACUUUCGUCAGACGAAAGUAAACAAAUAUAUUAGUCAGUUCCCACCCCCCCCCAGUGUGUUCAUUCUGCUGUAGUUUUUUUUCUUGAUGGUUAAUGACUAAAACACUUUUGAUUUCCUUUUGAC